UAAUACAGAGGGUGCAAGCGUUGCUCGGAUUUACUGGGCGUAAAGCGUACGCAGACGGCUUGGUAGGUCGGAUGUGAAAGCCCCGGGCUCAACCCGGGAAUUGCAUCCGAAACCACCUCGCUCGAGUGUGGGAGAGGGAAGCGGAAUUCCUGGUGUAGAGGUGAAAUUCGUAGAUAUCAGGAGGAACACCGGCGGCGAAGGCGGCUUCCUGGCCCAUUACUGACGUUCAGGUACGAAAGCGUGGGUAGCAAACAGGAUUAGAUACCCUGGUAGUCCACGCCGUAAACGAUGUGUGCUGGAUGUCGGGGGUAUUCACCCCCUCGGUAUCGAAGCCAACGCGAUAAGCACACCGCCUGGGGAGUACGGCCGCAAGGUUG
Molecule: ribosomal RNA, 377 nt
Filed under: uncultured bacterium
Lineage: Bacteria
Description: bacterial SSU rRNA
Rfam family: Bacterial small subunit ribosomal RNA
Source: RNAcentral